RNAcentral lists this long non-coding RNA (122 nucleotides) under Dermacentor andersoni. Its description in RNAcentral is "uncharacterized LOC126526750". Lineage: Eukaryota; Metazoa; Arthropoda; Arachnida; Ixodida; Ixodidae. The record is from RNAcentral.
AGAACUGCCACAGUGGCCUGCUUCUAGUUCUCAAGGCAACCACUGUCCAGUGUUAGUGUCACAGUUGCAUCACCAAGGUGAAGCACCCAGCCAUUCUCAGAGUGAUUUCUCCAUUCAAGAAG